Molecule: ribosomal RNA, 229 nt
Filed under: uncultured bacterium
Lineage: Bacteria
Description: partial 16S ribosomal RNA
Rfam family: Bacterial small subunit ribosomal RNA
Source: RNAcentral
UAACACGUGGGUAACCUGCCCAAGAGACUGGGAUAACACCUGGAAACAGAUGCUAAUACCGGAUAACAACACUAGACGCAUGUCUAGAGUUUAAAAGAUGGUUCUGCUAUCACUCUUGGAUGGACCUGCGGUGCAUUAGCUAGUUGGUAAGGUAACGGCUUACCAAGCCGACGAUCAGUAGCCGACCUGAGAGGGUGACCGGCCACAUUGGGACUGAGACACGGCCCAA